UAUUGGACAAUGGGGGCAACCCUGAUCCAGCCAUGCCGCGUGAGUGAUGAAGGCCUUCGGGUUGUAAAGCUCUUUUGGCGGGGACGAUGAUGACGGUACCCGCAGAAUAAGCCCCGGCUAGCUCCGUGCCAGCAGCCGCGGUAAGACGAAGGGGGCUAGCGUUGUUCGGAAUUACUGGGCGUAAAGCGCGUGUAGGCGGUUGUCCAAGUUGGAUGUGAAAGCCUUGAGCUUAACUCAAGAAAUGCAUUCAGGACUGGGUGACUAGAGGACCGGAGAGGAUAGUGGAAUUCCCAGUGUAGUGGUGAAAUACGUAGAGAUUGGGAAGAACACCAGUGGCGAAGGCGGCUAUCUGGACGGUUCUACGCUAAGACGCGAA
This 376-nucleotide ribosomal RNA is filed under the name uncultured bacterium. RNAcentral's name for it is "bacterial SSU rRNA". It matches the Rfam family "Bacterial small subunit ribosomal RNA", at positions 362 to 757 of the family's 1533-position model. The record is from RNAcentral.